Molecule: ribosomal RNA, 479 nt
Filed under: uncultured bacterium
Lineage: Bacteria
Description: bacterial SSU rRNA
Rfam family: Bacterial small subunit ribosomal RNA
Source: RNAcentral
ACUCCUACGGGAGGCAGCAGUGGGGAAUAUUGCACAAUGGGCGCAAGCCUGAUGCAGCCAUGCCGCGUGUAUGAAGAAGGCCUUCGGGUUGUAAAGUACUUUCAGCAGUGAGGAAGGUGGGUAUGUUAAUAGCAUAUUCAUUUGACGUUAGCUGCAGAAGAAGCACCGGCUAACUCCGUGCCAGCAGCCGCGGUAAUACGGAGGGUGCGAGCGUUAAUCGGAAUUACUGGGCGUAAAGCGCAUGCAGGUGGUUUGUUAAGUCAGAUGUGAAAGCCCGGGGCUCAACCUCGGAAUUGCAUUUGAAACUGGCAAACUAGAGUACUGUAGAGGGGGGUAGAAUUUCAGGUGUAGCGGUGAAAUGCGUAGAGAUCUGAAGGAAUACCGGUGGCGAAGGCGGCCCCCUGGACAGAUACUGACACUCAGAUGCGAAAGCUGGGGGGAGCAAACGAGGAUUAGACUACCCGUGGUAGGCUCGUGAC